AAACGAGGAGCAGAUGCCAGACAGGGAGCUUGUGACACAGGGCCGAGGAAGGCCGAGGCGAGGGAAAGCCCAGUGCAUUUAGUUAAUCAAAGGAGUUCCAGUACAAGAGAAUUCUAGUCCUGCAUUUCAGAGACAAAGUCUCCUGACUCCCAGUUCAGUGCUAUUUUUAGAAUACUCCCUGUCUCUAGCUCUAUGACAUGUAUGUGAUGAUUCAGCACAUAGAUCAAUAUUCUUGCAUAGAAAAAAGGAAGCAUAUAUGGCUCGUGCUUACCCAGGUAGAGACAUUAACAUUUUCCAAACCCUCUUGUUUAACAUGUCUUUUUAGAGGAAUUUUACUUUGUAUUAUAGUUUUUCAUUUCCUCCCACCUGGGUCAUGCCAUACAGCUCUUAAGUCAGGAAGGGAUUUUAAGGGAUCACUUUGUCAGCAGCCAAGGGAGCAUGGGGUGGGGGCAGGAACAUCAGUAAUAAAAUACUCGUCCUUGCCAAGGCGAACUGCUCCUCUGACCCCAACUCCCGUGUGUGCCACUGCGCACGAAGAAAGCUCGCACCCAAAUAGGCUACACAAACGUCUGAAGCCCCACGUUAGCCAUCUCCCCAGUUCAUAUUACCACCUAUUCCAUUCUAUUCCCUUCUGUAAACAUAGCUUAAGUAGUCAAAAUCACAUAUACAAAAAAA
This is a non-coding RNA of Ceratotherium simum simum (southern white rhinoceros), 675 nucleotides long. The record is from RefSeq and is a predicted model, not a curated record. Lineage: Eukaryota; Metazoa; Chordata; Mammalia; Perissodactyla; Rhinocerotidae.